GGGGAUGACCGGCCUAGACAGGCGGUUCCCUCUUGUAGGUGCUAUGCCGAGAAUGUUCAAGACCUCGUUAAAUCUUGAAUACACAAGUAUGUGCAAAAAACACACUUGCAAAAGUAAAGGCAUCAGUUUCUCCGUAUUUUACGGCGAACGCCUUUACUCCUGUUUACGCUUUAGCCUAAACAGCACUCAGGUUCAGUACGCCCUCUAGGGAACUCUGGGUGAUAUAAAAAGAGGGCUCAUCGCUUUGAAUGACUCUACAAAGUGAAAAAACAUAGAGUAUAGGUUGUGUAUGAUUUUGAAUACUUUAUACAUACAUUACUCAAAUAAGGCUUCGGUCUUAACAUAAGUACUCUACGCAUAGUAGAUUCCCACAAGAGCAUCGUCUGCACGGGGGUUCGAUUCCCCCCAUCUCCACAA
RNAcentral lists this transfer-messenger RNA (417 nucleotides) under Minisyncoccia. RNAcentral describes it as "UBA1550 sp003489395 Standard tmRNA". It matches the Rfam family "transfer-messenger RNA". Rfam says of the family: Bacterial tmRNA, also known as 10Sa RNA or SsrA, is named for its dual tRNA and mRNA-like properties. Its role is to liberate the mRNA from a stalled ribosome. The record is from RNAcentral. Lineage: Bacteria; Bacillati; Minisyncoccota.